CUCCAAUAGCGUAUAUUAAAGUUGUUGCGGUUAAAAAGCUCGUAGUUGGAUAUCACAAGCUUUUGCCAGAAACAUGAAAGUGUUUCUAGCUUGAAGGGAAGAUAGAAGGACGCCGUCAGCUCUAAUCUUAAUUGUUUAUAGUUGAUAAACGGUAUGUCUAAUAAGCUACUUUGAAGAAAUCAAUGUGCUUAAGACAAGCGAUUGCUUGAAUAUUUGUGCAUGGGAUAGCGAAAGAAGAUCAUUAUUGAAUCUGUUGGUUGAUACAAUAAGGAUAAUGAUUAAUAGAGAUUGACGGGGGCACUUGUAUUUGGAAGCGAGAGGUGAAAUUCUAUGACCUUUCAAAGACAGGCUAACGCGAAAGCAUUUGCCAAGAAUGUUUUCACUAAUCAAGAACGAAAGUUAGAGGCUCGAAGGCGAUUAGAUACCGCCCUAGUUCUAACCAUAAACAAUGCCAACUAACAAUCUUGUAUAGUUUAAGUUCAAACUAACAAGGAAGCUUGCGGAAAACCAAAGUAUUUGGGUUCCGGGGGUAGUAUGGUUGCAAAGCUGAAA
This 552-nucleotide ribosomal RNA is filed under the name uncultured eukaryote. RNAcentral describes it as "bacterial SSU rRNA". It matches the Rfam family "Eukaryotic small subunit ribosomal RNA", at positions 589 to 1142 of the family's 1831-position model. The record is from RNAcentral.